This 332-nucleotide long non-coding RNA is filed under the name Gouania willdenowi (blunt-snouted clingfish). Its description in RNAcentral is "lncRNA (ENSGWIG00000000160.1)". The record is from RNAcentral. Lineage: Eukaryota; Metazoa; Chordata; Actinopteri; Blenniiformes; Gobiesocidae.
UGGAGUUGUUUUGGGUUGCUGCGGUCUUUGGUCUCCUGUCCUCUGCACAGUCAGCUCCUGUUACCAGCUGUGAGACGCUCACCAAACAUGAUGACAUAAUAAGAGAUCAGCUGCUGGGAAAAUGGAUCCUUAUUGGAGAAACCACUGACAAAGAUGAAACGUUAUCAAUGAUAAGGUCGUUAGUGGACACUGUGUUUUGGAACAUCACAGAGACUGACACGACAGAUGGACUCCAAAUUUUCCACCAUCAGAAAACGUAACUUCACAGUUAAAUUCAUGAAAAGAACAUUCAACAUGUGCAGGGAUGUUAUCUACUACUAAAUGUUUCCUGA